Myodes glareolus (Bank vole) is the source of this 757-nucleotide non-coding RNA. The record is from RefSeq and is a predicted model, not a curated record. Lineage: Eukaryota; Metazoa; Chordata; Mammalia; Rodentia; Cricetidae.
GUUGCACACCUGUGGAUGGUGGGGUUGGAAGCCACAAAACCAUCCCUAAGGUGCUUUUGACCGCCACCCCACCCCACCCCGGCUUAAGUUUCAAAGCUUGUAUAAGCCCCCACUCUCUGCUUUAUCAGGUGUGCGGGCAACUGGCCAGUUAAAUAGCUAGGAAUUCAUCCAUGGCUCCUCUGUCAUGCAGGGAGGGAACUUAAAGAGGGGGAGCAGCUGCCAACCCUGCUUGUGUCCACCAGCCUGUUGCCUCUCCAAAACAAGAGGCUGUGGAGUGGAAGGCAAAGUAGCUCUCUUGCAGGCUUCCUUUGGCUGCAGGCAGCUAGAAGUCAGGGGCAGCUGGAAAAUACCCACACAGUAAGUACUGGGUUUUUUGUUUUUGUUUUUGUUUUUGUUUUUGUGUCUUGUGUGGUUGGGUGGAGCCAACAGACCCCAGUGUGCUUAUGCAGUAUAAGCUCUUCUAGAAAUAAAACAGUGAGUUGGGAAACCCCCACAAUGGUCACUGUUGAAGCUUAGGAAUAUCCAAGAAAUAUGCCCAUCUUAUCGUUGGAGGCCUACAUCCAGACAGGGGUUCUUAUUAAGUUGGUGACCAGCUAGAUGCUGGGCUCAUUGAGUACAUCAAGGCACCUUCUGGGACCACCCAGAACCUGUAGAAGCCCUGUGCUCAGGUCCUGUUUAUUCUUCCACCUCUUGUUCUGUGUGCCUUCUGGCCCUUAUUCUGCCUCUGGGUGGGUGACAGGUACUGUUCAGCCUGUUA